Alnus glutinosa is the source of this 101-nucleotide small nuclear RNA. The record is from RefSeq and is a predicted model, not a curated record. Lineage: Eukaryota; Viridiplantae; Streptophyta; Magnoliopsida; Fagales; Betulaceae.
GUUCUUUGGGACAUCCGACAAAAUUGGAACGAUAUAUAAAAGAUUGCCAUGGCUCCUGCCUAAGGAUGACACGUAUAAACCUAGAAAUGGUCUGAAUUAAU